GUGCCAGCAGCCGCGGUAAUACAGAGGGUGCGAGCGUUGUCCGGAAUCACUGGGCGUAAAGGGCGCGUAGGUGGCUAGGUAAGCGUGUGGUGAAAGUCCGGGGCUCAACCCCGGAUCUGCCGUGCGAACUGCUUAGCUCGAGCAAUGUAGAGGCAGGUGGAAUUUCGGGUGUAGCGGUGGAAUGCGUAGAUAUCCGAAAGAACACCAGUGGCGAAGGCGGCCUGCUGGGCAUUUGCUGACACUGAGGCGCGACAGCGUGGGGAGCAAACAGGAUUAGAUACCCCGGUAGUCC
This 292-nucleotide ribosomal RNA is filed under the name uncultured bacterium. RNAcentral describes it as "partial 16S ribosomal RNA". It matches the Rfam family "Bacterial small subunit ribosomal RNA", at positions 505 to 796 of the family's 1533-position model. The record is from RNAcentral.